RNAcentral lists this unclassified non-coding RNA (314 nucleotides) under plant metagenome. Its description in RNAcentral is "partial contains 5.8S ribosomal RNA, internal transcribed spacer 2, and large subunit ribosomal RNA". The stretch from base 1 to 104 matches the Rfam family "5.8S ribosomal RNA", at positions 51 to 154 of the family's 154-position model. The record is from RNAcentral.
AAAUGCGAUAAUUAAUGUGAAUUGCAGAAUUCAGUGAAUCAUCGAGUCUUUGAACGCACAUUGCGCCCCCUGGUAUUCCGGGGGGCAUGCCUGUCCGAGCGUCAUUGCUGCCCUCAAGCACGGCUUGUGUGUUGGGCUUCCGUCCCUGGCAACGGGGACGGGCCCAAAAGGCAGUGGCGGCACCAUGUCUGGUCCUCGAGCGUAUGGGGCUUUGUCACCCGCUCCCGUAGGUCCAGCUGGCAGCUAGCCUCGCAACCAAUCUUUUUAACCAGGUUGACCUCGGAUCAGGUAGGGAUACCCGCUGAACUUAAGCA